UGGGGAAUAUUGGACAAUGGGGGCAACCCUGAUCCAGCAAUGCCGCGUGUGUGAAGAAGGUCUUCGGAUUGUAAAGCACUUUCGACGGGGACGAUGAUGACGGUACCCGUAGAAGAAGCCCGGCUAACUUCGUGCCAGCAGCCGCGGUAAUACGAAGGGGGCUAGCGUUGCUCGGAAUGACUGGGCGUAAAGGGCGUGUAGGCGGUUUACACAGUCAGAUGUGAAAUCCCCGGGCCUAACCUGGGAGCUGCAUUUGAUACGUGUAGACUAGAGUGUGAGAGAGGGUUGUGGAAUUCCCAGUGUAGAGGUGAAAUUCGUAGAUAUUGGGAAGAACACCGGUGGCGAAGGCGGCAACCUGGCUCAUGACUGACGCUGAGGCGCGAAAGCGUGGGGAGCAAACAGGAUUAGAUACCCUGGUAGUCCACGCUGUAAACGAUGUGUGCUAGAUGUUGGGUAACUUUGUU
RNAcentral lists this ribosomal RNA (464 nucleotides) under uncultured bacterium. RNAcentral's name for it is "partial 16S ribosomal RNA". It matches the Rfam family "Bacterial small subunit ribosomal RNA", at positions 355 to 837 of the family's 1533-position model. The record is from RNAcentral.